CUGGCCGUAAACGAUGAACACUAGAAGUUGGGGGAAUCGACCCCUCCGGUGUCGUAGCUAACGCGUUAAGUGUUCCGCCUGGGGAGUACGCACGCAAGUGUGAAACUCAAAGGAAUUGACGGGGGCCCGCACAAGCGGUGGAGUAUGUGGUUUAAUUCGAUGCAACGCGAAGAACCUUACCAAGGCUUGACAUCCUGCGAAUCUCCAAGAAAUUGGAGAGUGCCUUCGGGAACGCAGUGACAGGUGGUGCAUGGCUGUCGUCAGCUCGUGUCGUGAGAUGUUGGGUUAAGUCCCGCAACGAGCGCAACCCACGUUUUUAGUUGCCAGCAUUCAGUUGGGCACUCUAGAAAGACUGCCGGUGACAAACCGGAGGAAGGUGUGGACGACGUCAAGUCAUCAUGCCCCUUACGCCUUGGGCUACACACGUACUACAAUGCUGCGGACAAGGAGUAGCGAUCUUGCGAAAGUUAGCUAAUCUCGUAAACCGUGGCUCAGUUCAGAUCGUAGGCUGCAACUCGCCUACGUGAAGGAGGAAUCGCUAGUAAUCGCAGGUCAGCAUACUGCGGUGAAUACGUUCCCGGGCCUUGUACACACCGCCCGUCACACCAUGGAAGUUGGCCAUGCCCGAAGUCGUUACUCUAACCUUUUGGAAGAGGGCGCCGAAGGCAGGGCUAAUGACUGGGGUGAAGUCGUAACAAGGUAGCCGUAGCGGAAGCUGCGGCUGGAUCACCUCCUAA
RNAcentral lists this ribosomal RNA (737 nucleotides) under Candidatus Synechococcus spongiarum. Its description in RNAcentral is "bacterial SSU rRNA". It matches the Rfam family "Bacterial small subunit ribosomal RNA", at positions 796 to 1533 of the family's 1533-position model. The record is from RNAcentral. Lineage: Bacteria; Bacillati; Cyanobacteriota; Cyanophyceae; Synechococcales; Synechococcaceae.